Molecule: ribosomal RNA, 380 nt
Filed under: uncultured eukaryote
Lineage: Eukaryota
Description: partial 18S ribosomal RNA
Rfam family: Eukaryotic small subunit ribosomal RNA
Source: RNAcentral
CAAUAGCGUAUAUUAAAGUUGUUGCAGUUAAAAAGCUCGUGGUCGGAUUUCGGGUCGGGCCGAGCGGUCUGCCGAUGGGUAUGCACUGUUCGGCGCGGCCUUCUUUCCGGAGACCGCGGCUACUCUUAACUGAGCGGGCGUGGGAGACGGAUCGUUUACUUUGAAAAAAUCAGAGUGUUUCAAGCAGGCAGCUCGCUCUUGCAUGGAUUAGCAUGGGAUAAUGAAAUAGGACUCUGGUGCUAUUUUGUUGGUUUCGAACACCGGAGUAAUGAUUAACAGGGACAGUCAGGGGCACUCGUAUUCCGUCGAGAGAGGUGAAAUUCUCAGACCAAUGGAAGACGAACCACUGCGAAAGCAUUUGCCAGGGAUGUUUUCACUGA